CGUGGCCAGCAGAGGGCAGCCCAGGAAAGGCCCGGGUCUAUCCGGGACAGCCACCCGCGAGCGUCCAGGGACCCUCGCCGCACCCUCCAGCUGACCCCACCUUGCAGUAAGGGAUCGGAGCGGGAACAUGGUCACCAGCUCUCUAAAGCUCAGUAACAAAAACCACCCACAAGUAGACACAGCGACCGUUUCCAGAGCUUUCAUCUGUCUUUCCUGUGACCUCCGUGGCCGCGUGGGGUGACUGCGCCUGUCUGCCAAGAGGCGGAGACAGACUCGGACUGGGGACCGAGCGCCUGCGGCCGGAGCUGCAGGGCAGGCUUUGGGAACUCGUGACCCAGAGUCCGAGCGCCUCGGCCCCGUGUCCCCGGGGAGGGACGGGUGAACACCAGCACCCACCCCGGGGCUGAGCACCCAGUCACCAGGCUCCCAAUGCCGGGGCCGCCUGGGGCGCGCGUUCACACCAGCUGCGCGCACAGCGCUUUGGAGUCAUUCCCGGAGUUGCUGUAUAUCCGGGGUCCAUGCCCCAAGUUCCCCACCACAUAGUGGGACGUUCUCAGAGCUCAGACUGGGUUCCAGGGAAAGGGCACCGUCCAGGGCGGGUCCUGGGAGGGACGCCCUCGCACUGUGCAUUUCCAGUUGGUGCUGGAACGCAGCCUGAACUCCUGGGCGUCAGGCUCAGCUGUGUGCCCGCGAGUGAACCCCUCCGUGUAAUCGGUGGUCUGCACCCCGCACCCUGCGCGCCAGGCCAGCGUCUGAAGCUCACGUCACCACAGCAGAAAGAAAGCGGCCAGGAAGAGGGGGUCCAUCAGGAGGCAGAUGGGAGCUGACCCAGGAGACAGAGGAAGAGGAAGUAGCUGUGCUGACCCGGGACUCGCUCAUGUUUGGGACACGUCUAAACUCCGCAGAGUCAGGAUCAAUUAUGGCUCUGUCUCCCAUCAGUCUGAACACGAAACACAUCACCUGCUAAACACAAACACGUCCCUGAGGGCACUGCCGGGGAGGGCCGGGGAGGGCCGCCCGAGGAGGAGUCCAGCCCCAGACCCGGGAACUGCGAGUGUGACCUUGUUUGGGAAAAGGGUCUUUGCAGAGGGGAUUACAUCGCAGAUCCAAGAUGAGGUCAUCCUGGCUUCCGAGUGGCCCUAAAUCCAGUGACAAGAGUCCUUACCAAAGAGAGACAGAGGGACAUCAGACAGAAUGGUUGAGGGGAGGGGGGACGAGGCAUGACAGAGGGACAUCAGAC
Molecule: long non-coding RNA, 1240 nt
Filed under: Bos indicus x Bos taurus (hybrid cattle)
Lineage: Eukaryota; Metazoa; Chordata; Mammalia; Artiodactyla; Bovidae
Description: lncRNA (ENSBIXG00005024279.1)
Source: RNAcentral